This 465-nucleotide ribosomal RNA is filed under the name uncultured bacterium. Its description in RNAcentral is "partial 16S ribosomal RNA". It matches the Rfam family "Bacterial small subunit ribosomal RNA", at positions 28 to 507 of the family's 1533-position model. The record is from RNAcentral.
GACGAACGCUGGCGGCGUGCUUAACACAUGCAAGUCGAACGGAAAGGCCCUGCUUGCAGGGUACUCGAGUGGCGAACGGGUGAGUAACACGUGGGUGAUCUGCCCUGCACUUCGGGAUGAGCCUGGGAAACUGGGUCUAAUACCGGAUAGGAGCCAUUUUUAGUGUGAUGGUUGGAAAGUUUUUUCGGUGUAGGAUGAGCUCGCGGCCUAUCAGCUUGUUGGUGGGGUAAUGGCCUACCAAGGCGGCGACGGGUAGCCGGCCUGAGAGGGUGGACGGCCACAUUGGGACUGAGAUACGGCCCAGACUCCUACGGGAGGCAGCAGUGGGGAAGAUUGCACAAUGGGUGCAAGCCUGAUGCAGCGACGCCGCGUGGGGGAUGACGGCCUUCGGGUUGUAAACUCCUUUCGCUAGGGACGAAGCUUUUUGUGACGGUACCUAGAUAAGAAGCACCGGCUAACUACGUG